Molecule: small RNA, 502 nt
Filed under: Filobasidium magnum
Lineage: Eukaryota; Fungi; Basidiomycota; Tremellomycetes; Filobasidiales; Filobasidiaceae
Description: eukaryotic LSU rRNA
Rfam family: 5.8S ribosomal RNA (bases 108-261)
Source: RNAcentral
UGGUUCUUCUUUCAUAUCCAUAACACCUGGUGCACUGGUUGGAUGCUUGCAUCCACUUUUAAACUAAACAUUAUUGUAACAAAUGUAGUCUUAUUAUAACAUAAUAAAACUUUCAACAACGGAUCUCUUGGCUCUCGCAUCGAUGAAGAACGCAGCGAAAUGCGAUAAGUAAUGUGAAUUGCAGAAUUCAGUGAAUCAUCGAAUCUUUGAACGCACCUUGCGCUCCUUGGUAUUCCGAGGAGCAUGCCUGUUUGAGUGUCAUGAAACCCUCAAACCCAAGUUUUGGAUUUCGAUCCAUGCUUGAGUUUGGAUUUGGAUGUUUGCCGGUGAUGAACCGACUCAUCUUAAAAGUAUUAGCUUGGAUCUGUCUAUAUGACUGGUUUGACUUGGCAUAAUAAGUAUUUUGCUGAGGACAUCUUCGGAUGGCCAGGACCUAGACUACUGUCUGCUAACUAAACCAUCAGUGCAUCUUUGGAUGUUACUCAUUGUGUAACUUUGACAU